Molecule: ribosomal RNA, 405 nt
Filed under: uncultured bacterium
Lineage: Bacteria
Description: partial 16S ribosomal RNA
Rfam family: Bacterial small subunit ribosomal RNA
Source: RNAcentral
AUUGAACGCUGGCGGCAGGCCUAACACAUGCAAGUCGAACGAGUGGAGGACGGGUGAGUAAUGCUUGGGAAUCUAGCUUAUGGAGGAGGAUAACUACGGGAAACUGUAGCUAAUACCGCGUAAAAUAGGAUGAGCCCAAGUGGGAUUAGGUAGUUGGUGAGGGAAAGGCUCACCAAGCCGACUAUCUCUAGCUGGUCUGAGAGGAUGACCGGCCACACUGGUACUGAGACACGGCCCAGACUCCUACGUGAGGCAGCAGUGGUGAAUAUUGCGCAAUGGGGGCAACCUGACGCAGCCAUGCCGCGUGAAGGAAGAAGGCCUUCGGGUUGUAAAGUUCUUUCGGUUGCGAGUCGUUAACUACAGGAGAAGCACCGGCUAACUCCGUGCCAGCCGCCGCGGUAAUAC